This 493-nucleotide unclassified non-coding RNA is filed under the name Microcystis aeruginosa NIVA-CYA 123/1. RNAcentral's name for it is "partial contains 16S ribosomal RNA, 16S-23S ribosomal RNA intergenic spacer, and 23S ribosomal RNA". The stretch from base 1 to 120 matches the Rfam family "Bacterial small subunit ribosomal RNA", at positions 1414 to 1533 of the family's 1533-position model. Lineage: Bacteria; Bacillati; Cyanobacteriota; Cyanophyceae; Chroococcales; Microcystaceae. The record is from RNAcentral.
GUCACGCCCGAAGUCAUUACCUCAACCGCAAGGAGGGGGAUGCCUAAGGCAGGGCUAGUGACUGGGGUGAAGUCGUAACAAGGUAGCCGUACCGGAAGGUGUGGCUGGAUCACCUCCUUAAAGGGAGACCUAAUUCAGGUAGGAGACGAAAAAAAAGUAGUCGCUACCAAGAAUCAAUCCCAAAAGGUCGGAGCGAGGCGAAAUUGGCUUUCAAACUAGGUUCUGGGUUCAAACAAGACCUGAAUCAGGAACAAGGGCUAUUAGCUCAGGUGGUUAGAGCGCACCCCUGAUAAGGGUGAGGUCCCUGGUUCGAGUCCAGGAUGGCCCACCUGUACAGGUGGCAAAAAGAAAGAAAAGAAGCGAGGAAUCAGCACCUUAUCUUACUUAUAUAGUAAGAGAGAAUGCUGGCUCUGAGUAAAGAGUCCAGAGGAACCUUGAAAACUGCAUAGAGCUAGGUGAAAAAGCCAAAAAAGAAGACCGCAAGGUCAAGCUA